GAUGAACGCUGGCGGCGUGCCUAAUACAUGCAAGUAGAACGCUGAAGCUUGGUGCUUGCACCGAGCGGAUGAGUUGCGAACGGGUGAGUAACGCGUAGGUAACCUGCCUCUUAGCGGGGGAUAACUAUUGGAAACGAUAGCUAAUACCGCAUAAAAGUCGAUAUCGCAUGAUAUUGAUUUGAAAGGUGCAAAUGCAUCACUAAGAGAUGGACCUGCGUUGUAUUAGCUAGUUGGUGAGGUAACGGCUCACCAAGGCGACGAUACAUAGCCGACCUGAGAGGGUGAGCGGCCACACUGGGACUGAGACACGGCCCAGACUCCUACGGGAGGCAGCAGGAGGGAAUCUUCGGCAAUGGGGGCAACCCUGACCGAGCAACGCCGCGUGAGUGAAGAAGGUUUUCGGAUCGUAAAGCUCUGUUGUAAGAGAAGAACGAGGGUGAGAGUGGAAAGUUCACACUGUGACGGUAACUUACCAGAAAGGGACGGCUAACUACGUG
Molecule: ribosomal RNA, 497 nt
Filed under: uncultured bacterium
Lineage: Bacteria
Description: partial 16S ribosomal RNA
Rfam family: Bacterial small subunit ribosomal RNA
Source: RNAcentral